RNAcentral lists this ribosomal RNA (568 nucleotides) under uncultured bacterium. RNAcentral's name for it is "partial 16S ribosomal RNA". It matches the Rfam family "Bacterial small subunit ribosomal RNA", at positions 355 to 1375 of the family's 1533-position model. The record is from RNAcentral.
UGGGGAAUAUUGCACAAUGGGCGAAAGCCUGAUGCAGCAACGCCGCGUGAGGGACGACGGCCUUCGGGUUGUAAACCUCUUUUAGCAAGGAAGAAGCGAAAGUGACGGUACUUGCAGAAAAAGCGCCGGCUAACUACGUGCCAGCAGCCGCGGUAAUACGUAGGGCGCAAGCGUUAUCCGGAAUUAUUGGGCGUAAAGAGCUCGUAGGCGGUUUGUCGCGUCUGCUGUGAAAACCCGAGGCUCAACCUCGGGCCUGCAGUGGGUACGGGCAGACUAGAGUGCGGUAGGGGAGAUUGGAACUCCUGGUGUAGCGGUGGAAUGCGCAGAUAUCGGGAAGAACACCGAUGGCGAAGGCAGAUCUCUGGGCCGUAACUGACGCUGAGGAGCGAAAGGGUGGGGAGCAAACAGGCUUAGAUACCCUGGUAGUCCACCCCGUAAACGUUGGGAACUAGUUGUGGGGUCCAUUCCACGGAUUCCGUGACGCAGCUAACGCAUUAAGUUCCCCGCCUGGGGAGUACGGCCGCAAGGCUAAAACUUAAAUGAAUUGACGGGGUCAUAGCUGUUUCCU